Molecule: transfer RNA, 74 nt
Filed under: Candidatus Sungiibacteriota bacterium
Lineage: Bacteria; Candidatus Sungiibacteriota
Description: tRNA-Met
Rfam family: tRNA
About the family: Transfer RNA (tRNA) molecules are approximately 80 nucleotides in length. Their secondary structure includes four short double-helical elements and three loops (D, anti-codon, and T loops).
Source: RNAcentral
GUCAGGGUAGCUCAGUUUGUAAGAGCGUGGCACUCAUAACGCCAAGGUCGUGGGUUCGACUCCCACCCCUGACA